This 424-nucleotide ribosomal RNA is filed under the name uncultured Armatimonadota bacterium. Its description in RNAcentral is "bacterial SSU rRNA". It matches the Rfam family "Bacterial small subunit ribosomal RNA", at positions 34 to 483 of the family's 1533-position model. The record is from RNAcentral. Lineage: Bacteria; Bacillati; Armatimonadota.
CGCUUGCGGCGUGCCUAAGAAAUGCAAGUCGAGCGGGGUAGCAAUACCUAGCGGCGAACGGUCGCGUAACACGUAGGCAACCUGCCCGAAAGACCGGGAUAACGGCUCGAAAGGGUCGCUAAUACCGGAUGUGGCCGGUGGAAGACAUCUUCUGCCGAUUAAAUCACUUGUGGCUUUCGGAGGGGCCUGCGGCCUAUCAGCUAGAUGGCGAGGUAACGGCUCACCAUGGCGACGACGGGUAGCUGGUCUGAGAGGAUGGUCAGCCGGACUGGGACUGAGAUACGGCCCAGACUCCUACGGGGGGCAGCAAUUAGGAAUCUUGCGCAAUGGGCGAAAGCCUGACGCAGCGACGCCGCGUGGAGGANGAAGGCCUUCGGGUUGUNAACUCCUUUUGACGAAGAAGAAAAAAAUGACGGUACUCGUC